AGAGAAUGAAGGCAGUCUAGUCCACAACCACCUCGCGGCCGACUACUCUCAACCACAUGUAACCCGCGGCUCUCAAAAUAAAACAGCACACGAGGCAGUCCACUCCACAGCAAGGUCGCGACUUGAUAUCUCGAGCCACUGCCAGACCGUGACAUCACACGCCAAAAGAAAGGAGACAACCAGUCCACUCCACGGGAUGGACGCGAUGCACCCAUAAUCAUUGCAGCCUGGUCGCGACCCGUCUCGUUGCAAUUAAAGGCGACAGCCUGAGCCCUAUGUUUGGUGCCACACUUUCUCCAGCCUCUUCAUCAACGCAUAGCUACGAACAAAAAAAUUUCCGACUCAAAUCUUCGGCAUUCAUUGAAGUUGCAAAAAACCUUUAUUGAAUUUACUCAUUAGUCAGGGAUUUUUUAACCAACAACGAAAUGCCCUAAUUAAUUCGAAGCC
Molecule: long non-coding RNA, 447 nt
Filed under: Ricinus communis (castor bean)
Lineage: Eukaryota; Viridiplantae; Streptophyta; Magnoliopsida; Malpighiales; Euphorbiaceae
Description: long non-coding RNA (RCOM_LNC003039)
Source: RNAcentral